RNAcentral lists this ribosomal RNA (964 nucleotides) under uncultured organism. RNAcentral describes it as "bacterial SSU rRNA". It matches the Rfam family "Bacterial small subunit ribosomal RNA", at positions 28 to 975 of the family's 1533-position model. The record is from RNAcentral.
AACGAAUGUUGGCGACGCGUNUUAAGCAUGCAAGUCGGGCGGAGCAUUCCCUUCGGGGAGAUGGCGAGCGGCGGACUGGUGAGUAACACGUAGGUGAUCCGCCUCCGGGACCGGGAGAGCCAGUGGAAACACUGGGUAAUACCGGAUGUUGUACUGUGCAGAGAUGCACAAUAUGAAAGCUGUGCAAGCAGCGCCGGGAGAAGAGCCUGCGUCCUAUUAGUUAGUUGGUGAGAUAACAGCCCACCAAGACGAUGAUAGGUAGCCGACCUGAGAGGGUGAUCGGCCACAUUGGGACUGAGAUACGGCCCAGACUCCUACGGGAGGCAGCAGCUAAGAAUAUUCCGCAAUGGGCGAAAGCCUGACGGAGCGACGUCGCGUGGAGGAUGAAGGCUUUCGGGUUGUAAACUCCUUUCGGCAGGGAAGAAUAAGGUGCGCAGGCAAUGGCGCACUGAUGACGGUACCUGCAUAAGAAGCCCCGGCUAACUACGUGCCAGCAGCCGCGGUAAUACGUAGGGGGCAAACGUUGUUCGGAAUUAUUGGGCGUAAAGAGCACGUAGGCGGACUGGUAAGUUAGUGGUGAAAUACUCAGGCUCAACCUGAGGCACGCCCCUAAAACUACCUGUCUAGAGUUGCAUAGAGGCAGUAGGAAUUCCUGGUGGAGGGGUGAAAUCUGUAGAUAUCAGGAAGAACACCAAUGGCGAAGGCAAGCUGCUAGGUGACAACUGACGCUGAGGUGCGAAAGCCAGGGGAGCGAACGGGAUUAGAUACCCCGGUAGUCCUGGCCGUAAACGAUGCACACUAGUUGUCGGAUAUAUGCUUUCAUAUAAUCGGUGACGAAAGUCAACGCGAUAAGUGUGCCGNCUGGGGAGUAUGCCCGCAAGGGUGAAACUCAAAGGAAUUGACGGUGGCCCGCACAAGCGGUGGAGCAUGUGGUUCAAUUCGAUGGUACGCGAAGAAUCUUACC